UGGGGAAUAUUGCACAAUGGAGGGAACUCUGAUGCAGCGACGCCGCGUGAACGAAGAAGGCGUUCGAGUCGUAAAGCUCUUUUAGAUGGGAAGAUAAUGACGGUACCAUAAGAAAAAGCCCCGGCUAACUACGUGCCAGCAGCCGCGGUAAUACGUAGGGGGCUAGCGUUGUCCGGAAUCACUGGGCGUAAAGGGUUCGCAGGCGGAAAUGCAAGUCAGGUGUAAAAGGCAGUAGCUCAACUACUGUAAGCAUUUGAAACUGCAUAUCUUGAGAAGAGUAGAGGUAAGUGGAAUUUUUAGUGUAGCGGUGAAAUGCGUAGAUAUUAAAAAGAAUACCGGUGGCGAAGGCGACUUACUGGGCUCAUUCUGACGCUGAGGAACGAAAGCGUGGGUAGCAAACAGG
This 403-nucleotide ribosomal RNA is filed under the name Verrucomicrobiota bacterium. RNAcentral describes it as "Verrucomicrobia bacterium partial 16S ribosomal RNA". It matches the Rfam family "Bacterial small subunit ribosomal RNA", at positions 355 to 776 of the family's 1533-position model. The record is from RNAcentral. Lineage: Bacteria; Pseudomonadati; Verrucomicrobiota.